RNAcentral lists this transfer RNA (77 nucleotides) under Mastigocoleus testarum BC008. Its description in RNAcentral is "tRNA-Ala". It matches the Rfam family "tRNA". Rfam says of the family: Transfer RNA (tRNA) molecules are approximately 80 nucleotides in length. Their secondary structure includes four short double-helical elements and three loops (D, anti-codon, and T loops). Further hydrogen bonds mediate the characteristic L-shaped molecular structure. tRNAs have two regions of fundamental functional importance: the anti-codon, which is responsible for specific mRNA codon recognition, and the 3' end, to which the tRNAs corresponding amino acid is attached (by aminoacyl-tRNA synthetases). tRNAs cope with the degeneracy of the genetic code in two manners: having more than one tRNA (with a specific anti-codon) for a particular amino acid; and 'wobble' base-pairing, i.e. permitting non-standard base-pairing at the 3rd anti-codon position. The record is from RNAcentral. Lineage: Bacteria; Bacillati; Cyanobacteriota; Cyanophyceae; Nostocales; Hapalosiphonaceae.
GGGGUCAUAGCUCAAUUGGCUAGAGCGCUAGUCUUGCACACUAGAGGUUAGGGGUUCAAUUCCCCUUGAUUCCACUA